CCGUUCUUUAUAGUAUUAAAAAUGUUAAUAGCAUGUAAAAGCGGGCUAUUUCUAAAUAUAUUAGUUCUAAAAAGUUAUAAAAACAGUUUUUAUUCGCUUUAGUGUUUCUUUCCAUUACCUCAGAUUUUUUUGGAGGAGACAACAUUUGGGCUUAUUGCUUUGAAAUCCUUUACCAGCAGACAAUUUUUGAGUUAUUUGGAAGAAAACAAGACACAAAUUAUGGUGGUAAUAUUUCGACUCUAUUUCAGGGUCAUUGUCAAACCAAACAGUUUAGUCAAACGCCAGUCAAGUCGGUGUUUGAUAAGACAAAUUUGAAAAAGGUGACAAGUGAAAAAAAUUCGGCUAGAAAUAGGAGGCCCUUAUGUGAGAUAAAUGUUUUUAAUUCAGGGUAUUUUCAUUGACAAAUUUAAUCUUCUCAAUCUACAUUUGUACUACAUCUUCUAAUUCGUUUUAAUAUGCAGGUUUUGUGCAUCAUUAUGUCAGGCUGGUUAUGAGGCUACAUAUGAUCGCGUAUCCUCUGAAGAAUCGAACUGGUUCCUCACAAAGCCAAUGUAAAUUAUUAUUGUUAUAAAAUAAUAACAAAAAACUAUCAAAACAGUACAUGCAUAACUAUGGCUACCUAAACUACUUUCUUUUUUAAACUAGGAACCACCUGAUUUGUUUAAAUUGAUUUUGAGAGGUGGACAGUGGUAUUACAAACGA
Paramuricea clavata is the source of this 702-nucleotide non-coding RNA. Lineage: Eukaryota; Metazoa; Cnidaria; Anthozoa; Malacalcyonacea; Plexauridae. The record is from the annotation of a GenBank genome assembly.